Molecule: ribosomal RNA, 219 nt
Filed under: uncultured bacterium
Lineage: Bacteria
Description: partial 16S ribosomal RNA
Rfam family: Bacterial small subunit ribosomal RNA
Source: RNAcentral
GAUCAUGGCUCAGGAUGAACGCUGGCGGCGUGCCUAACACAUGCAAGUCGAGCGAAGCACUUUGCUUAGAUUCUUCGGAUGAAGAGGAUUGUGACUGAGCGGCGCGGUNAGUAACGCGUGGGUAACCUGCCUCAUACAGGGGGAUAACAGUUAGAAAUGACUGCUAAUACCGCAUAAGACCACAGCACCGCAUGGUGCGGGGGUAAAAACUCCGGUGGU